AUUGAACGCUGGCGGCAUGCCUAACACAUGCAAGUCGAACGGGGGUAGCGAUACCCUAGUGGCGGACGGGUGAGUAACGCGUAGGAAUCUGCCCCGUAGUGGGGGACAACCUGGGGAAACCCAGGCUAAUACCGCAUGAGCUCGGGAGAGGAAAGCGGGGGACCUUCGGGCCUCGCGCUAUGGGAUGAGCCUACGUCCGAUUAGCUAGUUGGCGGGGUAAGGGCCCACCAAGGCGAUGAUCGGUAGCUGGUCUGAGAGGACGAUCAGCCACACUGGGACUGAGACACGGCCCAGACUCCUACGGGAGGCAGCAGUGGGGAAUAUUGGACAAUGGGCGCAAGCCUGAUCCAGCAAUGCCGCGUGGGUGAAGACGGCCUGCGGGUUGUAAAGCCUUAGGCGGGGAGGAACGGCGUCGUGCGAACAGUGCGGCGUUCUGACGUUACCCGCGGAAUAAGCACCGGCUAACUCCGUGCCAGCAGCCGCGGUAAU
Molecule: ribosomal RNA, 489 nt
Filed under: uncultured bacterium
Lineage: Bacteria
Description: bacterial SSU rRNA
Rfam family: Bacterial small subunit ribosomal RNA
Source: RNAcentral